AGAGUGUUUAAAGCAGGCUAAAGCUUGGAUAGAUUAGCAUGGAAUAACGAAAUAGGACGUUUGAUCUUAUUUUGUUGGUUUCUAAGAUCGACGUAAUGGUUAAUAGGGAUAGUUGGGGGCAUUAGUAUUCAAUUGUCAGAGGUGAAAUUCUUGGAUUUAUUGGAGACUAACUACUGCGAAAGCAUUUGCCAAGGAUGUUUUCAUUAAUCAAGAACGAAAGUUAGGGGAUCGAAGACGAUCAGAUACCGUCGUAGUCUUAACCAUAAACUAUGCCGACUAGGGAUCGGACGGUGUUAGUAUUUUGACCCGUUCGGCGCCUUACGGGAAAC
Molecule: ribosomal RNA, 329 nt
Filed under: uncultured Glomeromycotina
Lineage: Eukaryota; Fungi; Glomeromycota
Description: SSU rRNA
Rfam family: Eukaryotic small subunit ribosomal RNA
Source: RNAcentral